GACGAACGCUGGCGGCGUGCCUAAUACAUGCAAGUUGAGCGCUGAAGGUUGGUACUUGUACCAACUGGAUGAGCAGCGAACGGGUGAGUAACGCGUGGGGAAUCUGCCUUUGAGCGGGGGACAACAUUUGGAAACGAAUGCUAAUACCGCAUAAAAACUUUAAACACAAGUUUUAAGUUUGAAAGAUGCAAUUGCAUCACUCAAAGAUGAUCCCGCGUUGUAUUAGCUAGUUGGUGAGGUAAAGGCUCACCAAGGCGAUGAUACAUAGCCGACCUGAGAGGGUGAUCGGCCACAUUGGGACUGAGGCACGGCCCAAACUCCUACGGGAGGCAGCAGUAGGGAAUCUUCGGCGAUGGACGAAAGUCUGAUCGAGCAACGCCGCGUGAGUGAAGAAGGUUUUCGGAUCGUAAAACUCUGUUGGUAGAGAAGAACGUUGGUGAGAGUGGAAAGCUCAUCAAGUGACGGUAACUACCCAGAAAGUGACGGCUAACUACGU
RNAcentral lists this ribosomal RNA (496 nucleotides) under uncultured bacterium. RNAcentral describes it as "partial 16S ribosomal RNA". It matches the Rfam family "Bacterial small subunit ribosomal RNA", at positions 28 to 506 of the family's 1533-position model. The record is from RNAcentral.